CAGCAGCAGCCGCGGUAAUACAGAGGGUGCGAGCGUUAAUCGGAUUUACUGGGCGUAAAGCGUGCGUAGGCGGCUUCUUAAGUCGGAUGUGAAAUCCCUGAGCUUAACUUAGGAAUUGCAUUCGAUACUGGGAAGCUAGAGUAUGGGAGAGGAUGGUAGAAUUCCAGGUGUAGCGGUGAAAUGCGUAGAGAUCUGGAGGAAUACCGAUGGCGAAGGCAGCCAUCUGGCCUAAUACUGACGCUGAGGUACGAAAGCAUGGGGAGCAAACAGGAUUAGAUACCCGCGUAGUCCCUGUCUCUUAUAC
RNAcentral lists this ribosomal RNA (304 nucleotides) under uncultured bacterium. RNAcentral describes it as "partial 16S ribosomal RNA". It matches the Rfam family "Bacterial small subunit ribosomal RNA", at positions 506 to 807 of the family's 1533-position model. The record is from RNAcentral.